Long non-coding RNA from Prionailurus viverrinus (fishing cat), 1192 nucleotides. RefSeq lists it as uncharacterized. Lineage: Eukaryota; Metazoa; Chordata; Mammalia; Carnivora; Felidae. The record is from RefSeq and is a predicted model, not a curated record. The transcript has 4 exons.
UCUUGACUCCCGAGCGGUCCUGCCUGGUGAGCGCGCACGCACCAGGCCUGGAAAGGCGGCCUCCGGGAGACAGAAAAGAGGGCAGAAGGGGAGGGAAGAGAAAAGAGAGGAAACAUCAGGGAAGGAGGAGGAACCAUCUUCCUCUCACCCCCUGCCACUCCUAGUCUGUUUUGUAAGCUGAUGUAUCUCAAGGGCCCGGGACAGCACCUGGCACAUCAUAGGCGCUCAGUAGGUUCCCAAAAUGAGACUCCCCAAGAAGAAGGAAAACAUAAACUCACGUCCAUCCUCUUCCAGGUGUAGAAGUUGACCUUGGUGUCUGGGACAGUGAUAUUCUCACUGAAGCUGCAGCCUUCAGCACAGCCCAUCUGAAAUGCACGACCCCCGAGUCAGGCUCCCCGAGGGCUCCCCUCCACCAUUGCCCCUUACCUAGCUCCCAGCUUGUCGCUCCCACCCCGAACCUUCCCAGCGCUCGGGUUCUGCCUCCUUGGCCUUCAUUCAAUCCCCGCCGCCCGCCGCCGCGGUGAGCACACCCCACCCCCCAAACUACCGGCAUCCCCUUCUCCCGGGCAAACUUCAAUCCCGGUGUGACAGAGGCUUCCCCUCUCGCAGAUCUCGGGGAUUGCUCCAAGACCCAGGUAUCAGCUUCCUCCCCACGCACGGAGCCGCCCCUCUUCCCCCCCAACCCGCAAACCGCGUCCCCGUGCCCGGGUCAGAUUUCACCUUUUCCCGGCGGCUCCGGGAGCCCUGCCGGCACGUGGAGGCUGCCCCACCCCCCUUGCCCUUCCGGGGUCCUUGGCAAGUUGUCGGUCCUUGAACCCGGCCACCUCGGGGCCACUAGCCCCAGCGGUAAAUUCCUGCUCAAACAGGGGCCCAGGCGGGCGGGGGCUCCUCCAGCCGGCGGGUACUCACCGCACGACCCCAUCUCCGUGCCUCCCCCGGCCCCUCAGCGACCAGGGGCUCGGCCGGCGCCCUUGCCGGGAGCCCUCAUCCCGGGAAGCGCGGCGGGGCAGGGCCGGCCUCACGCCCUGAAGGAAGGGGCCACCGUCCGGGGGCCGCCGAGCCGGGGUCGCGCACAGCGAGCGCAGGACUGCUGGCCACGGUCCGCGAGGACUGGCGCGCGGCGACCGGUCGGGGUUGGCCCGGGGACUGCGGCUCGGCCGGGGGUCGGGGCUGUUAUCAGCAUGUGUGCGUG